This 13780-nucleotide long non-coding RNA is filed under the name Capsicum annuum. Its description in RNAcentral is "long non-coding RNA (CANN_LNC021980)". The record is from RNAcentral. Lineage: Eukaryota; Viridiplantae; Streptophyta; Magnoliopsida; Solanales; Solanaceae.
CCUCAUAACUAUUGAACUGUGAUGGGUAGGGACUUUAUAAAUGGAGGCCAACCCCCCUUUUCCUACCCAUCAGAAAACCCUAGCAUUUUUUGUUCUAGAAUACAUGAUAUAGAGCUCGACGUCCCAUUGAUUGAUAUAGCUAUAAAAUUUUGAAAGUUGAUCUCAAGUUUAACCACCGAUUGCUACGUUGCUUAUCAAUGGUGAUGAACGGUAUGCUUUUUUGUUAAAUCUCAAGAUUAUGUUUAUGUUUGUUUAUUAAUCUCUGCUAUGGUUGUGAAUUAAGAAUCUAACAGUAUAAAAACUAUUUUGUCUCAUUCAUCAAACCUAAAUCGUUGGUAGUAAGUUGGAUGUCAUCAACAUAAAGAACCAUAAUAAUGAAAUUACCUCAAGGCUUUUUGAUAUAGACACAUUUAUGAAGCUUAUUUUUAACAAAUCCAAAAUUCGUAAUGGCUUCAUCAAAUUUAAUGUACAACUAUCUAGAAGCUUGUUUAAGUAUAUAAAUUGAUUUGUUAAGUUUACACACUAUGUGUUCUUUACCAGUUUUCUAGAACCCUUUAGGCAGAAGUAUAUGAACUUCUUCACAAAAACUACAAUUAAGAAGAGAAGUUUUAAUAUCCAUCUGAUGCAACUCUAAAUCAAAAUGAGCCACAAAAUCCAUGGCAAUCCAUAGAAACUAAACCUGCUUUGUAGCGAUCUGUAUUUCCCUUAGAGUUUCUCUUUGUUUAAAAUAUCCAUUUUCAACCAAUAGGUUUGAAACCUACAGGCAAUUCAACAAACUCCAACACUUUGUUGUGAUCCAUGGAUUGUAUUUUAUCUUUAAUUGCUUUAUGCGAUUUAUCAACACACGAAGAGGAAAGGGAUUGAGAAUAUGAUAAGGGAUCAGUCAGCUCUCAACUAUCACUAAUAAUUUCAGUCACAUACAAAACAAAAUCAUCCAAAAUAGCAGAUCUUCUUUCUCUUUGAGAUCUACAAGGUGGACCAUCAUUAUAUUCAGGACCAACAGAAGGAUUUAUAUCGUUGUUCCCUAAACCAUCCCCUUUAUGAAAAGGUCAAUUUGCUACCUCUUCAUCGAAAAUAGUUUCACGAUCGAGGCUACCCCGUAGUCGCGAUAAUGAUGCUUACGUCCACAAGUCACCCCAAGUUAACCCAUGAGCUGGUACCUGUUGUAAGCACUAAGUAAGAUAGUAAUACAUCACAUAUGCGGAAGAUAAAAUGAUAAGAUACUAUAAAUCUAAGUACUGAAAUACAUAGUAAUGACAUGUCUGAAAUAUCUAAUAAAAUAUUGAAAGAGCUGACUGACUUUCUAAUUGGUUGUUUAAAGCCUCUGAACAUCAUAAGGAGUUGAUGGGACAAACCCCCAACUAACUCCGACUGACUAAACAUAAGGAAAUACUAAAAUAACAGAGAAAAACAAAUCAUGUCCUCGAUGGAUGAGGACUCACCACUACUACUACUAGAUAACACUGAGCUAUCUAAGAACGGUCGAAAAAUUAAGCAUCCGAACCUAUGUUAUAAGACAACAUAAAGAAAAGAAAAGUAUGCGGUCAGUACUUUGAAUGUACUGGUAUAUGAGAUAAGAACAGGCUGAAAUGCAUGAGGUAACUGAGCAUGAAUGCAUGAACAUAUAAUAUCUGAGAAUGCAAAGCCAAGUAUAAAUAUGUUACAGAGAUAAUCUGUAAUCUGAAAGACUGAAAUCUAGAUAACCGAAUAGUUGACAAUCUAUACAUUUGGUCAAGAAAACCUGAGCUGAGAUAUACUAAUAUACUGAUUAAAACUGUGGGAGGUAUCAUGUAACUGAUAUGCCCCAAAUCUGAGCUAAUCGGGGUCCAACCUGUAACCCAGUUGGAAGGGUGUCAGUACCGUGCCAAGGGUACUAAAACUGGCUGUGUGAAUUCUCUAAUCUAAUGUCCUGAAGGACCAGGGUGUCAAGCCUAAACUGAAGGGUGACCCUUGAGAGGAAGUCAUGCCUAAACUAAUGGGUGACCCCUCAUAACCUACGCUGGUUACGUAGUUCUGGAACUUAUAGAUUGGUACUAAUAACUCUGCCUAAACUGACUGGAGAGCCUCCAUCCCAGUAUUCACUCGGUGCUAAAUCCUACUUCCAUUUGAAUUAACACUGGAAUCAUGAACUGGUGCAUGCACUAAUGACUAAUAUGCUCAAACAUGGUAUAUUGAAAACUAAUAGUGCAUGCAUAAUCUGAAGUAACCGUGAACAUGUAAACUGAUGUAUUUAACAUGAAGUAAGACUGGUGAAAACGAUAAUAUGUAAAAACACAUAGGUAUCAGGAGUUUAUAACCCGCCAACACUGAAUGAUCAUAAAAUACGACAUCAAAGCUUAAAUCUCUAGUAUGGAAUUAUAGUUCAACGAACCAAAACAUAAAAAUUCCACCAAGUAAGUGAAAAACAUGAACUUGAACAUGGAAACGUGUUAAACAUGAGGAAACAACAUGAUUAUAUGACUAAAUUCAUAAUUCUAUAUUUUAAUAGGAAAUUCACUGGAAUAUGACAUGGGAAAUUGAAAUUUCAAACAUGACAUAACCUAAUUUUUCAUGGGAUCAUACAUGAACAUGGAUUGAAUUCAAGUUACUAAGGAAAAACAUGAAUUAAACUCAUCUUGAACAUAUGAAACUCCAUAAUAAAGGAAAAACCCAUAUUUUAAUCAAAGAGAAGUUUUUUGGGCUCAAUGGGUGAAAGGGACCAUUGAUGAAUAUCCCACAUACCUCAAUAGAUAGUUUCUUGGAGAUUUCCUGAGGUUUUCUUGAACUUGGAAGCUUGAACUAUUGAUUUCUUGAUGAAGAGCUUAGGUUUUAUUCUUGAGAAAGAAGGAGGAUUUCUUGAGAAAAAUUGAGUGAAAGAGGCAAAUAAUACCCUUUUGGAAGUCCCAAAUUAUGUUCAGAACGAAUUGGGUUAAGGGAAAUGACUCAAAUUCCCCUUAAUUUAAAGACCAAAGAGAUGGACGAAAUAGCACUGGCAUGUUGUGGGCUACAGCCCGAUAGAGGAAGCCCCGCGCUGUGAACUCUAGUUCGAAAGAGCAAGCCCCGCGUCGCAAACCCCAAGGCUGUGGGAAUAGCCCUUGUGCCACGGGCUUAUGUUAGGGGGGCUAUGUUUUCAUUUCCCAAAUAUGCCCCUACGUUCAUCUAAAAAUCCCAAAACUCCCCCGAGACAUACCUUUAACAAACCCUAACAUGAAUCAACUCAAAAACCAAUGUCUAGAGAUCGGGAAGACCAAAAUAAAAAUUUGUGAAGUUUAGGGUUCUUGAAAAUGACUAAAUCCUUAACACAGUUAAAAUUUUAAGCCUUUGACCCCUUAAGCAUGUAACUACAAUUGAAUCGAGCUUAGGAUCUUACGGGAUAUUACAAUAUCUCCCCCUUGGGAACAUUCAUCCUCGACUAAGACUAGUUAGACUAAGAAUCCUAAAGUACUGAGACAAUAUACUAAACAUGCAUAACUUGGAAACAUAUUACUUAACUAAGUAUGAAGCAUGAUACAUGAACUAAACUAAUUUUGGUAAUGCAUGCAAUGUCAUGAGAAUGGUUGCAUAGCUGAAACUGAGAACAAAACAGAUUCAAUCUAAGGAAAAUCAUUACCUCAAGGUAAAUCUAAGUUUAUACAGAAAAGAUGAGGGCAAUUCGUUUGUAUAUCUGCUUCUGCUUCCCAAGUAGCUCCCUUAAUAGACUGAUUCUGCCAAAGAACUUUAACCAAGGGGACUUCUUUAUUCCUUAGCCUACGAAUAUGAUGAUCAAGGAUCUCAACUGGGACUUCUUUGUAGGAAAGGCUAUCCUUAACAUCCAUACUUUCUAAGGGAACAACAACAACUGAAUCACCAAUACAUUUCUCUAACAAAAGAAACAUGGAACACUAGAUUCACUGAUGCCAAAUCUGUAGGUAACUCAAGCUCAUAAGCUACAUUCCUAAAACGGUUCAAGAUUCUAUAUGGGCUAACAUAAUGGGGACAGGGUUUCCCCUCCUUGCCAAAUAUUUUCACCCCCUUAAUAGGUUAAAUUUUCAAAUAAACAAAGUCACCAACCUCAAACUCAAGAUCUCUUCUCGUCACGUCUGCAUAAGAUUUUUGACAGCUUUGGGCUGUCUUCAGCCUCUCCUGAAUUAUAUGAACUUUCUUCAUAGCCUCAAACAUUGAAUCUGGCCCUAUCAAAAUAGCCUCAUCUACUUCAAACCAACUCAUAGGAGACCUAUAUCUCCUCCCAUAGAGAGCCUCAAGCAGUACCAUCUGAAUACUGGAGUGAUAACUAUUGUUAUAAGCAAACUCAAUCAAAGGUAAGUGGUCAUCCUAACUACUUUUAAAGUCAAUAACAUAGACCCUCAACAUGUCCUCUAAAGUCUGGAUGGUCCUCUCUGCUUGACCAUCUGUUUGAGGAUAAAAAGUUGUACUAAGAUGAACUUAGUACCAAGACCCUUCUUAAAAGCCUUCCAAAAGUGAGAAGUAAAUUGAGCACCUCUAUCUGAAAUGAUAGACAACGAAACCCCAUGAAAUUUCACCCACUCUCUGAGAACUAAAAUAAUCCUCAGUCAAAUACUACAUAUGAGCUAGUAAGAAAUAAGAUGAUUUGGUCAUUCUAUCUAUAAUGACCCAAAUUAAAUUAUAGUGACGACGCAUAAGAUAAAUCCUGGAACAAAAUCCAUAUUAAUCACCUCCUACUUCCAAGUGGGCUUGAUGAACUCCUGAAGUGUACCACUAGGCCUUUGAUGCUCAACUUUGACCUACAGAUAAUUUGAACACUUAGCCACAAACUCGGCAAUAUCCUUCUUCAUACCAAUCCACCAAUUAAUUUCUCGCAAAUCAUGAUACAUCUUAGUGUCUCCUAGGUGGAUAGAAUAUCGUGCACCAUGCACUUUACAAGUAUUCACAUUAACUCAUAGAACAUAUAACCUGCCCUAAAAAUGAAGCAUACCAUCUCUCCCUUGGGAGAAAACCUCCUAUUUCUGAUCUCUAACUGCUUCCUUCAACUUAACCAAUUGGGAUCCCUGUCUUGAUUUUCUUUUGCUUUGGAAACCAAUGAAGAUUUCGAACCAUUCUGAACCUAUAUACUACCUUCAGCUGAAUCAACCAAUCGAACACCUAAUUUAGCAAGCUGAUAAACCUUGUGAACUAAUUUUUUCUUAACUUCCUCAACAUGAGCAACACUACCCAUGGACAGUCUACUAAGGAAAUCCGCCACUACAUUAGCCUUGCCCGGAUAAUACAACACACUCAUAUCAUAAUCUUUUAACAACUCAAGCCACCUUAUCUGGCGAAGAUUCAGAUCUUUCUACAUGAACCCAUACUGUAAUCUCUUAUGAUCCAUGAACACCUAAAUAUAGACCCCAUAAAGAUAAUGUCUCCAAAUUUUCAAGGCAAAAACAAUAGCUGAGAACUCAAGAUCAUGGGUAGGAUAAUUCUUUUUAUGGGGUUUAAGCUGUUUGGAGGUAUAGGCUAUUACCUUGAUUCUGGAAAUCAAAACACAACCAAGACCAACUCUGGAAGCAUCACAGUAAACUACAAAUCCAUCUAGACCAUCUGGCAAAGUCAAAACUAGGGCAGAAGUGAGUUGAGUCUUCAUCUCCUAAAAACUCUUCUCGCAUGAAUCUGAUCAUUGAAGCUUGACCUUCUUCAGAUUCAACUGAGAUAUGGGGGAAGAAAUAGAAGAAAAACCUUUAAAAAACCACCUAUAAUAGCCAGUUAGACCUAAGAAAAUCUCGAUAUCUGAUAGAAAGAUGGGUCUAGCUAGUUUCUCACUGCUUCAGUCUUUUGAGGGUAAACUUGGAUUCCAUAACUAAAAACUAUAUGGCCAAGGAAAGCUACUGAUUUUAUCAAAAAAUUGCACUUACUAAACUUAACAAAUAACUGAUGAUCUGUAAGGGUCUACAACACGACCCUCAAAUGAUUUGCAUGAUAAUUCUGAUUAUGAGAAUAAGUAAGGAUAUCAUCGAUGAAGACUAUGAAAAACAUAUCUAAGUACUUCUUGAACACCCUGUUCAUCAAGUCCAUGAAGGAUGUAGGAAAAUUCGUUAGUCAAAAAGACAUAACUAGAAAUUCAAAGUGACCAUAACAAGUUCUGAAAGCUAUCUUUGGAAUUUCAUAUCUCUAACUCGAAGCUGAUGAUAGCCAAAUCUGAGGUAUAUCUUAGAGAAAUUACUAGCACCCUAAAGUUGGUAGAAUAAUUCAUCAAUUCUGAGAGUGGGUAUUUAUUCUUAAUUGUGAAUUUGUUCAACUAACGGUAGUUCAUGCAUAUUCUAAGAGAACCAUUGUUCUUACGCACUAACCAUACUGGAGAGCCCCAUCAAGAAAUGUUAGGUCUGAUGAAACCCUUAUCUAAGAGAUCUUUUAACUACUCCUUCAACUACCUAAGCUCAAGUGAAGCCAUUUUGUAAGGUGGAAUAGAGAUAGACUGGGUGUCUGGAAGGAGAUCUAUCCCGAAGUCACUAUUCCUUUCGGGAGAAAUUCUAGAAAGAUCUUCAGGGAACACAUCUGGGAAUUCCCUUACUACUAAAACUGACUCUAGACUCAAAGCCUCAAAAUUUGAGUCUUUGACUCAGACAAAAUGGUAAACAAACCCCUUAGAUAUUAUCUUUUUUGCUUUAAUAUAUGAAAUAAUCUGACCCCUAAGCACUGAGGAAUACCCCUCCAUUCAAUGACUUGUUCAUUAGGAACUAAAAUUGAGCAACUUUAUUUCUACUAUCAACCGAGGCAUAGCAUGCGUGGAGCAAAUCCAUGCUAAGAAUGACAUCAAAAUUAGUCAUCUCCAACUCUACAAGAUCAACUGAGGUGAUUUUCUGAGAUACUGUGAUUGGGCAAUUUCUAUAUACCUGCCUGGAAAUAAUAGAUUUACCCAUUGGGAUAGGCACUGAGAAAAGCUCUACUAAUGUUUUGGGAUUGGCACCAAAAUUAACGGCUAUAUAAGGAUUCACAAAGAAAGUGAACCUAUGGGGUCUAAUAACAUAUAAACAUAAAGAUGAAAAAACUUUAACAUACCUGUAACCAUAUCAAUAGAACUUUCCUAGUCAUGUCGAGUUUGGAGAGCAUACAACUUGUUCUAGCAUUUCCCACUGGUGUCACUGGAUAUGCCACCCUACUGAGUCGGGCGACUUUCUGGUGUUGAAGAAGAAUUAGUCUGGCCCUGAAAGCGAUCAUUUCUGCCCCUCUGAGAAACUAUCAAACACUCACGGAUCCUGUGUCCUGUCUUGCCACAUCCAAAACACACAUCACUACCAGCUCGACACUCACCCUGGUAGUUUCUACCAUAUUUCCUGCAAAGAGAAUAGUACGACCACUGUUCACGUUCCCUGCAACUUAGAGCCUGAAGCCUUAUCCUGAUCGUCUUACCUAAAUUUAGGCACUAUUGCACUAGAUGAAGAUGGAGCUGGGGUUGAAAAUUUUUGAUGGAACUGGAAACAGUUACUACCUUUUGACCUUGGCUAAGAAAAGUUGAAACUACUUGUUCUGGCCCUCUUAUUCUCUCCCUCCUUCUCUUUACGUUUUUCCUCUUCAAUCUACUGAGCAUGAACCAUGAGUAUAGAUAGGUCUAUAUCCUUAAUCAAUAUAGAGGUCCUACACUCUUUAACCAUACUAUCAGCUACACCAGAUACAAACUUACUCAUUAGACCUAUUAUCUGCCACCAUAGUAGGAGCAUACCUCGCCAACUGAGUGAACUUAAGAAAAUACUCCUUAAUGCUCAUAUUACCCUACUUUAAAUUGAUGAACUCUUGAAUAUUAACUUUCUUCAACUCUCGAGGAAAGAACCUAUCUAAGAAAGAUGUGGCAAACUCGUCCCACCUUACCGGCCUUGCAUCAACACCUCGAUCCUUCUUCCACUGCUUAAACCAGGUGUGAGCUAUAUCCUGCUACUGAUAUGUAACUAACUUUAUAAUCUCAAUCGAAGUAUGCCCAUGAAAUUUUUCACUUUCUGCCCCAUCUCCUGUGGAAACUCCUUAGACUUGAAUCCCAAAAAUAAAAGGGGAUUCAUCUGAGUAAAAUCCUGAAUCCUAACUGUACCAGUAUUCGCCACUAGAUUGGAUGGGGCAACAGGCUUCUAGUUGUUCUGAGCAGCUAGAGAAUGGGAUAGAGUAGUGAAAGCAGCCCUAAAUUUGGCUUGAGAGGCAUGCUUAUUUAGAGGAUCUUCCUGAAUAGGUGGUAUAGGCUGAUCUCUUUUUCUUAUUUUGAGAGGAAUUUCUUGUAAAUGGAAUAAAGGAUGAUUUAGAAAUAGGGAUUAAAUAUAGCUCAUGCUCUUUCUCAUGAUAUGAACACUAAAAAAGGGAAACUUUCCUAAAACGUCUCAUAGCCUCUUGCCAAUAAGUUUGGUGCGCUUCACACCCAUGCACAAGACUCUACUCAACUCAUCUUUUAGACUCUCUAGGAUACUUUAAAACCUUAGAAUCUGCUACCAAGUUUUGUCACGACCCGAGGAUACCCCCUAGUCAUGACAAGGGUGCUUACAACCAUAAGUGACCACAAGCUAGCCCAUGAGCUGGUACCCGUUGUAAGCCCUAAGUAAGAUUGUAAUACAUCACAUAUACAAAAGAUAAACUUAUAAGAUACUAUAAAUCUAAGUACUAAAAUACAUAGUAAUGAUAUGUCUAAAAUAUUUGAUAAAAUACUUAACAAUAGACUAACUUUCUAACUAGUUAUCUGAAAGUCUCUAAACAUCAUGAGGAGUUGAUGGGACAAACCCUAACAAACUAUGACUGACUGAACAUAAGGAAAUAGUGAAAUAACUGACAAAAAAUUAUUCAUUUUCUCAAUGGAUAAGGACUCACCACUAUUUCUUCUAGAUAACGCUGAGCUGUUUAAGAACGAUUAGGAAACUAAGCGUCCAUACCUAUGUUAUAAAACAAUAAAGCUCAAAGAAAAGUAUGCGGUCAGUACUUCGAAUAUAGGUAUAUGAGAUAAGAAAUGGCUUAAAUGCAUGAGAUAAUUGAGCAUGAAUGCAUGAACAUGUAAUAUCUAAGAAUGCAAGACCAAGUAUAAAUAUGUUACUAGAUAAUCUAUUAUAUGAAAAACUAAAAUCUGUAUAAUUAAUAAUUUGUACACUUAGUCAAGAAAACCUGAGCUGAGAUAUACUGAUAUACUGACUGAAACUGUGGGAGGUAUCAUGUAACCGACAUGCCCCAAAUCUAAGCUAAUCAGGAUCCAACCUGUAAUCUCAGUUGGAAGGGUGUUAGUAUUGUGCCAUGGGUACUAACACUGGCUGUGUGGAUCCUCUAAUCUGAUGCUCCAAAGGACCAGGAUGUCAAGGCUAAAUUGAUGGGUGACCUCUAAGAGAAAUUCAAGCCUAAACUGAUGGGUGACCCCUCAUAACCUAUGCUGGCUACCUAGUUCUGGAACUUAGGAAUUGCUACUAAUGACUCUGCCUAAAGUGAUGGGGGAUCCUCCAUCCCUACAUUUCCUCGAUGAUAAAUGCUACUCCUAACUGAACUAACACUGGAAUCAUGAACUGGUGCAUGUACUGAUAACUUAUAUGCUCAAACAUAGUAUUAUGAAAAUUAACAGUGCAUGCAUAAUCUGAAGUAACUGUGAAUAUGUAAACUGAUGUAUUUAACAUGGAGUAAGACUGGUGAGUUCAUUAUAAAAAUGAUAAUCUGAAUAUUGGAAUAAAAUCAUGAUUUUGAUUGACUUGUUACUUGAAAAUGAUAACAUGUAAAAAUACAUAGGUAUCAGGAGUUCAUAACCCCCAACACUGAAUGAUCAUAAAAUACGACAUCAAAGCUUAAAACUGUUGUAUGAAAUCAUGGUUCAAAGAUCAAAAACAUAAAUAUUUUACCAAAUAAGUGAAAAGCAUGGACAUAGUCAUGGAACACGUUAAACAUGAGGAAACAACAUGAUUACAUGACUAAAAUUCAUAAUUCAAUAUAGUAAUUGGAAAUUCACUGGAAUAUGACGUGGGAAAUUGAAAUUUAAAGCAUGGCAUAACCAAAAUUCUCAUGGGAUCUUACGUGAACAUGGAUUGAAUUUCAAGUUACUAAGGACAAGCAUGAAUUAAAAUCAUCUUGAACAUAUAAAACUCCAUAAUAAGAAAAAAUCCAUAUUAAUCAAAGAGAAGGUUUUUGGGAUCAAUGGGUGAAAGGGACCCAUUAAUAAAUACCCCACAUACCUCAAAAAUAGUUUCUUGAAGAUUUCUUGAGGGUUUCUGGAACUUGGAAGCUUGAACUCUUGAUUUCUUGAGAAAGAUAUUAGGUUUUGUUCUUGGGAAAGAAGGAGAGUUUCUUGAGAGUAAUUUUGAGUGAAAGAGGCAAAUAAUGCCCUUUUGGAAGUCCCAAAUCCUGUUAAGGAUGAAUUUGGUUGAGGGAAAUGACUUAAAUUUCCCUUAAUUUAAAGACCAAGGAGUUGGACGGAAUAGCACUAGCGCACCAUGAGCGUUAGUCCAGUGGAGAAAGCCCCUUGUCAUGAACCCUAGUAUGGCAGAGCAAGCCUCACAUCGCAGACCCCACGACUGUGGUAAUGGCCCUCACGCCGCGGGCUUAUCUUAGGGGCCCUCUGUUUUAUUUCAGAAACAUGCCCCUAUGGUCAUCUGAAAAUUCCAAAACUCUCUUGAGUCAUACCUUUAACAACCCCGAGCAUGAAUCAACUCAAAAACCAAUGUCUCGGGGUUGGAAAGACCAAAAUAAAAAUUCAUAAAUUUUAGGGGUCUUGAAAAUGACUAAUUCCUUAACACUUAGUGAAAAUUUCAAGCCUUGAACCCCGUAAGAAUGUAACUACAACUGGACCGAGCUUAGGAUGUUACGGGGUAUUACAAAUAGGUACAAGAACAAUGAUUUCUUUUACUUUCAACAUAAUUUCCUUGCCAUAUGCACAAUUACAGUCAUAAACACCGUGAUCAAGGAAUUUUUCAUUAAUGGAUUCAAUGAUUCUUGUGCUACCACCAGAAAAAAAAAAUAAGAAACCUUUAGAGUUAUCAGGAUAGCCUAGAAGAAACAACUAGAAGUUUUAGGGUCAAUUUUAUUUUUAGAAGGUGUAAAAUAAGAACAUUAGUCAGACAUCCCUAAAUAUGAAAAUGGUUCAAGCUAGGUUCUUAAGUUGUCCAGAGUUCAAAAGUGGUUUUGAAAACAUAUUUUGUAGGGACUCUAUUGAGAAUACAAGUUGCAGUUCUUAAAGCGUCGCCCCAAUGAGACUUGGGUAGGCUAUUCCUUGGCCUCAUACUUCUCACCAAUUCGAUGAGAGUAUGGUUAUGAAUCUUAUCCACACCAUACUGCUCAGGUGUGCCUGACUAUAAUACACUAUAUAUUUCUAAGCUAGAAAAUGAACCGUUGUUCCUACACAUAAAACCUUCUAUCCUAUGAUUUAUAUUGGAGUACAUGAAUUAGGAUGAGUAUCCUAAUGAUAAUAGAUCUUACGAUGUAUUAAUCAUGUUCAUAAGAGUCACUUAGAGUAAGCCAAGCUAAGAACUUUUGAAUCCACCAAGUUUUCAUGUGUGAUUUCAUAUAGGUCAUCUUUGAAAGAGCAUAAAUUAGUUUAUAGGUGGUAUUUUGGCAGCUUAAUACCCUCCAAAUUGUGUAUAAUUGAAUAAGCUUUCCGUCGAUACCAAAUUUACCUAAAACGGACACCCGGUGAAGAAGUUAUGUCGAUUUAAAGUUUCAGCAGCGUUAUUUCAGUCAGUGGCGUGUCGCGCCGUAAGCCAAAAUGACGUUUGUCAAUAUAUAGUGUCUCUCCACGAUUCCACCGUAUUGCGGUGAGUUUCCAGGUCAUAAACGAGGGGCAACGUGAUAUCUCUACAUCACUCCGGGGGCCCAAAUCAGGUAAUUUUCACAGAAAUUAAAUGACGCAUCUAGAGGGGUAUUUAGGUCAUCUUUCAACCCCUAUAUAUAUUCCAUAAACACGGAAUUAAGCCUUUAUUUCACCAAAACAUACUCUUUCUCUCAAAUUCCUCUCAAGAACACAUUAGUGUUUUCAAUUGGGGUUUCAAGUUCAAGCAAAUUUCUCCAUCAAUCAUUAAGAAUCUUCCAUCUAAGGUAUGCAUAGUAUUCAUCUAUGGAUCCAUUUCGUUCAUAGAGCUCAAGAACCAUGUUUUAAAUAUUAUAUUGUGAUUGUCUUGUUAUGAUAUGACCAUGUACAUGUUGAUGAUUAUUGUUUAAGUUUCAAGAUGAUAUCUAAAGGUGUUUUCAUGAAGUAUAUGUGUUCGUUAGUUGAAAUUCGUGAACUUUAUGUGGUUUAAAAUGGGGAAAUUCAUAAAAACACACAUAAUCUAAAAGAAUGCAUGCAAAGUGUUUGAUUAAAGGCCUAGGAUGAUAGAAUUCAUGUCCUAUAAUUUAAUAGUGCUUAAAUGACAAGUCCAUGCUCUAUGCUUUAUGAUUUCACAUGAAUUCCAUAUGAUUGAUAUGCAUCGUUGUUGUGAUAUGGAUUAAGCAUGAUAUUGAAGAUAUGCAAGUAUACAAAUGUUUUAUGAAUUUCCCUUCCAUACGUAAGACGUUGAGAACUAUGCUUAGUGUGAAAUCCCCUACUUAUGAUAUGGUGAAUUGUGGACUCCAUUUUAUGGUCAAGUCAGUUAUGUGUGUCAGUUUUCUUCCAUCGAGUCCUGGGGGUACUAGUACCCAAACAAUAUAGUUGUGUGCCUAGAUCCAUGUCACGUUAUUACGAUAAUCUCAUUCAAGCCAUGAUCUAUAGAACUCAGUCAGUCAUGUGACUCAGGAAAUCUCAGAAAUCUCAUGAUCUCAAUAAAUUCUCAGAUAGUAGUAUUAUUCCGUCAGUCAACAAAAGUUAGUUACUCAGUCCAUGUACAUCUAGUUAAAUCAUAUUCAGUCUCUUCAGAUGGGAGUAAAAGUUAGCACCGAGUGAACCCAAGGAUGGGAACUCGCCUGCCAGUUUGGGGUGUGAUUCUUAGUAGUCAUCCUUGUGUUCCAGAACUACAUAGACAGUGUAGGUUGAGACAUCUUAACAUAUCAGAUUAGGGUUGAUGAGGUGGAUUAACCUGUCAGUUUAGAAUUCCCACCAUUCUCAUUCGAGUACCUUCCAGGUAAGGGUCACUAAUAGCUAUCCUUACCAGUGGCGCGGUAUUUACACCCUUUCAGUUGGGGCAGAGAUUGGACCCCAACCUAGCUAUAUGCGUUAUUGGGGCAUGUUGGUUAAGCAACUACCUCCCAUAGUUUCAAUCCCAGUCUCAGUAAAAGAACUCAGAUAGUUCUUCAGAUUUGAGUAUACCAGGACUGUCAGUUACGGUCAAUUCAAUUACAGUACGGAACUUAGGUAGUUCCAUCAGAUUCAGGACUGUCAGACACAGUCAUCCAUGGUAUCAAAAUUCCAGAAUCAGUCAUGUUAGAUAACAGUAAACCAUGUAUUAGCGUACAGAUCCAGAUAUCAUGUAUUCAUGAUCUCAGUUACUAUGUAUGCAUGCUUGCACUCUCACGUUCAUAUUAGUCAGUCAGUUAACAUUGUUCAUGCAUGUAAACCCUUUUGUAUUUAGACUACCUCACUCGUAUACUCAGUAUUCCUAGUCGUACUGACGCUUUUACACUAUGGUGCUUUCUUUCAUAUUACACCAUAGGUUCAGAGACACGAGUUUCAGAUCAGCAGUAGCAUUCUAGUCGCAGAGUUGCAGUGAGUUUUCAUCCAUUCGAGGACGAUAUUAUUUUAUUUCAUUCAUUAUUUUAGUUCAUUUUUGCUAGACGGAGUUAGUUGGAGACAUGUUCCUUCAACUCCUUAUUUCAGAUAGUAUUUAGAGGCUUUCAGAUUUAGUUCAGAUUUUAGAUUCAACUUUCAGUUGUUUUUGGGUAUAUGUUACCCUAUAUGGAUGUUAUUAUUUAUUAGAUAUUCUAUUCGGUUGAACAUUAUGGCCUAUUAUUCAUGUUUUCC